UAGUCCACGCCGUAAACGAUGGUCACUAGCUGUUCGGACUUCGGUCUGAGUGGCUAAGCGAAAGUGAUAAGUGACCCACCUGGGGAGUACGUUCGCAAGAAUGAAACUCAAAGGAAUUGACGGGGGCCCGCACAAGCGGUGGAGCAUGUGGUUUAAUUCGAUGAUACGCGAGGAACCUUACCAGGGCUUAAAUGUAAGUUGCAUUAGUUAGAGAUAGCUAUUUCUUCGGACCACUUACAAGGUGCUGCAUGGUUGUCGUCAGCUCGUGCCGUGAGGUGUCAGGUUAAGUCCUAUAACGAGCGCAACCCCUGUUGUUAGUUGCCAGCGAGUCAUGUCGGGAACUCUAACAAGACUGCCGGUGCAAACCGUGAGGAAGUGGGGAUGACGUCAAAUCAUCACGGCCCUUACGUCCUGGGGCUACACACGUGCUACAAUGGCGGAUACAGAGGGGUUGCCAACUAGCAAUAGUGCGCUA
RNAcentral lists this ribosomal RNA (475 nucleotides) under uncultured bacterium. Its description in RNAcentral is "bacterial SSU rRNA". It matches the Rfam family "Bacterial small subunit ribosomal RNA", at positions 791 to 1270 of the family's 1533-position model. The record is from RNAcentral.